This 151-nucleotide unclassified non-coding RNA is filed under the name uncultured Ascomycota. RNAcentral describes it as "sequence contains ITS2". Lineage: Eukaryota; Fungi; Ascomycota. RNAcentral also lists the same sequence under 1 other name. The record is from RNAcentral.
CAACCCCUAAGCACAGCUUAUUGUUGGGCGUCUACUCCGGUAGUGCCUCAAAGACAUUGGCGGAGCGGCAGUAGUCCUCUGAGCGUAGUAAUUCUUUAUCUCGCUUUUGUCAGGUGCUGCCCCCCGGCCGUAAAACCCCCCAAUUUUUUCU